AUUGAACGCUGGCGGCAUGCCUUACACAUGCAAGUCGAACGGCAGCACGGGUGCUUGCACCUGGUGGCGAGUGGCGAACGGGUGAGUAAUACAUCGGAACGUACCUUACCGUGGGGGAUAACGCAGCGAAAGUUGCGCUAAUACCGCAUACGCCCUGAGGGGGAAAGCGGGGGACCGUAAGGCCUCGCGCGAUUAGAGCGGCCGAUGUCUGAUUAGCUUGUUGGUGAGGUAAAAGCUCACCAAGGCGAUGAUCAGUAGCUGGUCUGAGAGGACGAUCAGCCACACUGGGACUGAGACACGGCCCAGACUCCUACGGGAGGCAGCAGUGGGGAAUUUUGGACAAUGGGGGCAACCCUGAUCCAGCAAUGCCGCGUGAGUGAAGAAGGCCUUCGGGUUGUAAAGCUCUUUUGUCAGGGAAGAAACAGCAGCUCUAACACAGUCUGCGAAUGACGGUACCUGAAGGAUAAGCACCGGCUAACUACGUGCCAGCCGCCGCGGUAA
This 501-nucleotide ribosomal RNA is filed under the name uncultured bacterium. Its description in RNAcentral is "partial 16S ribosomal RNA". It matches the Rfam family "Bacterial small subunit ribosomal RNA", at positions 30 to 523 of the family's 1533-position model. The record is from RNAcentral.